UUUGGAAAUGCACCUCUUGCUGAAAGAAACUUGGAUGGAUUAGACGAGAUGAAAAGAAGUGUAAUUGGAAACCCACCCCUUCCUUUUAGGAGAAUCUUGGAUGAACCAAACGAGGGAAAAACCGGAAAGUAACCCGUUGUUGAAAAGGCAGAUAACCAUUGACGGUUUUAGUUGGCCAUGGGGAAGAUGAAUUCAUCCACUGACAGAGAUAUUAC
Molecule: long non-coding RNA, 215 nt
Organism: Magallana angulata
Lineage: Eukaryota; Metazoa; Mollusca; Bivalvia; Ostreida; Ostreidae
Exons: 3
Source: RefSeq, a predicted model, not a curated record